RNAcentral lists this ribosomal RNA (267 nucleotides) under uncultured bacterium. Its description in RNAcentral is "partial 16S ribosomal RNA". It matches the Rfam family "Bacterial small subunit ribosomal RNA", at positions 87 to 353 of the family's 1533-position model. The record is from RNAcentral.
GGUGGCGACCGGCGCACGGGUGCGUAACGCGUAUGUAACCUACCUAUAACAGGGGCAUAACACUGAGAAAUUGGUACUAAUUCCCCAUAAUAUUCGGAGAGGCAUCUCUCCGGGUUGAAAACUCCGGUGGUUAUAGAUGGACAUGCGUUGUAUUAGCUAGUUGGUGAGGUAACGGCUCACCAAGGCAACGAUACAUAGGGGGACUGAGAGGUUAACCCCCCACACUGGUACUGAGACACGGACCAGACUCCUACGGGAGGCAGCAUG